RNAcentral lists this ribosomal RNA (1628 nucleotides) under seawater metagenome. RNAcentral's name for it is "eukaryotic LSU rRNA". It matches the Rfam family "Eukaryotic large subunit ribosomal RNA", at positions 1207 to 2851 of the family's 3401-position model. The record is from RNAcentral.
AGAUACCAUAAAGGGUGUUGGUUCAUUUUAACAGCAGGACGGUGGUCAUGGAAGUUGAAACCCGCUAAGGAAUGUGUAACAACUCACCUGCCGAAUUGACUGGCCCCGAAAAUGGAUGGCACUAAAACGGGCGACCGAUACCGUUCGAUUGAUGCGACAUGAAUAUGUGAUGUGUAGGAGGGUGCAUAUGUUUGUUGUAAAACGCAUGACGAAAGUCAACGCGAAAUUGCAUGUGUUGCAGAUCUUGGUGGUAGUAGCAAAUAUUCAAAUGUGAACUUUGAAGACUGAGGCGGGAGGGGUUCCAUGUGAACAGUAAUUGGACAUGGGUUAAACGAUCUUGAGAUGAUUGGAUGCUCUGCACAGAUAAGCUUCGCUGUUACUUGCAAAAGGGGGUGGUGAUAACGUUCUCCAAUCAGGAUGUGGAUAUUCAAUGGUAACAUUACAUAAUCCUGUCAUGUGGGUCAGGGUUCCGGGAAGUGUUAUCUUUUUUUCUUAACAGCAAUGUACUGUGGAAUUUUGUUGCCGGGAGAUAUUGUUAAGCUACUGUUAUAAUGCCUUUUCGUCCGAGGUGUCAGGUGCACUAUUGGCUACCCGUUAAAAUCAGGGUGAUUGUGUUAUUCGCACUCCUGGUCGUACCCAUAACCGCAUCAGGUCUCCAAGGUUAAUAGCCUCUGGCUAAUAGAACAAUGUAGGUAAGGGAAGUCGGCAAGAGAGAUCCUUAAUUUCGGGAAAAGGAUUGGCUCUGGGGGUUGGGUGCGGGGGUCGUUGUUUGAUAUUUGAGUGUUACAGAAGCUGUUCGAUACAUCAGUGGGCAAUGGAUUCGAGUAUUACGAUCAUGUAGAGCAAGUAGUGGCUUCCGGGCUUCCCCUGCACAGUGAGCAAGUAACUCAGAACUGGAGCGGACGUUGGGAAUCCGACUGUUUAAUUAAAACAAAGCAUUGUGAUUGCCUCAGCGGAAGCUGGCGCAAUGCGAUUUCUGCCCAGUGCUCUGAAUGUUAAAGUGAUGAAAUUCAAACAAGCGCGGGUAAACGGCGGGAGUAACUAUGACUCUCUUAAGGUAGCCAAAUGCCUCGUCAUCUAAUUAGUGACGCGCAUGAAUGGAUUAACGAGAUUCCCACUGUCCCUAUUUACCGUCUAGCGAAACCACAGCCAAGGGAACGGGCUUGGGAUAGUCGGCGGGGAAAGAAGACCCUGUUGAGCUUGACUCUAAUUCGACACAGUGGAAUUACUUAGGGGGUGUAGUAUAAGUGGGAGCUUUGCGAUCUUGAAAUACCACUACUCUUAAUGUUAUUCCACUGAUUGCAUGAUGCUGAGCAUUGCUUUACACUUACAUUGUGUUUGUAAGAUCGUGUGUAUGCUGGAUUGAUCUGUGUGCGACACAUCGUCAGCUGGGGAGUUUGGCUGGGGCGGCACAUCUGUUAAAUUAUAACGCAGGUGUCCUAAGGUUGGCUCAACGAGGACAGAAAUCCCAUGUAGACCAAAUGGGGAAAUGCUUGCUUGAUUGUGAUUUUCAGUGUGAAUACGAACUGUGAAAACAUGGCCUAUCGAUCCUUUAGGUUUGAAUUGUUUUCAACUAGAGGUGUCAGAAAAGUUACCACAGGGAUAACUGGCUUGUGGCAGCCAAGCGU